UACGUUUGGGGCAAGCGUUAUCCGGAUUUACUGGGUGUAAAGGGAGCGUAGGCGGCCUGGCAAGCCUGAUGUGAAAUACCGGGGCCCAACCCCGGGGCUGCAUUGGGAACUGCCAGGCUGGAGUGCCGGAGAGGCAGGCGGAAUUCCUAGUGUAGCGGUGAAAUGCGUAGAUAUUAGGAGGAACACCAGUGGCGAAGGCGGCCUGCUGGACGGUGACUGACGCUGAGGCUCGAAAGCGUGGGGAGCAAACAGG
This 253-nucleotide ribosomal RNA is filed under the name uncultured bacterium. RNAcentral describes it as "partial 16S ribosomal RNA". It matches the Rfam family "Bacterial small subunit ribosomal RNA", at positions 524 to 776 of the family's 1533-position model. The record is from RNAcentral.